GACGAACGCUGGCGGCGUGCCUAGUACAUGCAAGUUGAGCGAUGAAGAUUGGUGCUUGCACCAAUUUGAAGAGCAGCGAACGGGUGAGUAACGCGUGGGGAAUCUGCCUUUGAGCGGGGGACAACAUUUGGAAACGAAUGCUAAUACCGCAUAACAACUUUAAACAUAAGUUUUAAGUUUGAAAGAUGCAAUUGCAUCACUCAAAGAUGAUCCCGCGUUGUAUUAGCUAGUUGGUGAGGUAAAGGCUCACCAAGGCGAUGAUACAUAGCCGACCUGAGAGGGUGAUCGGCCACAUUGGGACUGAGACACGGCCCAAACUCCUACGGGGAGCAGCCGUAGGGGAUCUUCGGCAAUGGACGAAAGUCUGACCGAACAACGCCGCGUGAGUGAAGAAGGUUUUCGGAUCGUAAAACUCUGUUGGUAGAGAAGAACGUUGGUGAGAGUGGAAAGCUCAUCAAGUGACGGUAACUACCCAGAAAGGGACGGCUAACUACGUG
RNAcentral lists this ribosomal RNA (497 nucleotides) under uncultured bacterium. Its description in RNAcentral is "partial 16S ribosomal RNA". It matches the Rfam family "Bacterial small subunit ribosomal RNA", at positions 28 to 507 of the family's 1533-position model. The record is from RNAcentral.